UCUCUCUCUCUCUUUCUCUCUCUCUCUCUCAUCCCCAAUUCACCUCUCAGCCGGGCUCCAUGACCACGCCGCUGCCUCGGCACCACCGAUUCCGGUAAGCUCCGGUGCUCUCCCGCGAAGUUUCUCACCAGCCCGUCUGUCCCUCGGCGCUCUCCACCGCGCCCGCACCGCCGCGACGUCCUCCGCAACCCUACUGUUCGCCGCGGGUCGCCGGCGCGGCUGCCGCGCCUCCUCUGGUUUCUGGCUUGGUCUCGGCGGUGUUGCUCUGCCUCGGCUACCUCACCUCCGACAUUGAAGGUUCUGAAAUUGACCUUGCUUCAGCCAACAUGCGUGUGGUCGUUCUGUCUCUUAGCAGGGGUCGAGGCCAUGGCUCACGGCUGGGGCUCAGCACAUCUGAAUCUCCGCUUGUGGUACAUGUCCCCAUAUCUGUUCAGGGUGGCGCUACAAGAUCAAAUCGAAACCAGAUCACAUGGCAGCUCAGUCUGGUAUGUAUAUCAUUCCCAACUGCCAAUUAAUUAUUCUGUGAUGUCUUCUCGUUUACUAAUCAGAGCAUGCUCUUGUCUGUACUAAUUAGAUCAUGCAUUCCUUCAAGGGCCUAGGUAGGUGUGAUGACGAGCACAAGUGGAUUGGAUAGUUGUCCUUCCACCCCCCCCCCCCCCUCUCCCCUUAUGUUCCUUAUAGUUCAUUGUUUUUCGUGUUGUUGCUUCUGCAGGUUCUGAAAAUUCAUUCAUAGGAAAUUCUAACGCGUGACUAUACAUAAUUUUGUAUUUUCCAGAGGUCUCUACAUUAUAUUUUCCAUAAUUUGAAAAUACUUAUCAUUUAAUUUGGAGCUGACGCAAGAUGCCAAAUUUAUUUAGUACAUGGUUAUAAGUUGCAUAAUCUGCAAUGUUGUUUAAUAAACUCAUGUUGAAAACGUUCUUGCCUUUAGAUUAUUAUAAUUAGCCCCACAUCUAUAUCUAUAUCAGAGUCUUCUUAAAUCACAUUUGCGAGCAUUUAUCACACUACCUAAUUUAGGUACAUCCAAAUCUAGCCUGGUGUGAAUUAUUUUCUUUGAACAUAAAGUAUUUUUGAAUUGUGGAAACCUUGCAUCUAUUUGUAUUUUCUGGAAAGCUGCAGAUCUUUCUUUGAAAACGAAGGAUCUGUGAUAUGUCAGCACAUGUUUUUCUUCAAAGGAGGUACCUCAUUUCUUACAUAGUAUGUUCAUUUCAAGGUUUAACUCAAUUAACACACAACAGAUUUGUUCAUAAGAAAGCAAUGAUCAAAAGUAUUUGUCCGAUGUUGGCUGUUACUCUCCUUUUCUGCGUACAAAGCUGCUAAUGUCAUGGCAUUCAACUUCUGUAUGGUGCCCCUCUACAUUUUGUUGCUCUAUUAACCUGAUUUUCUCUACCGUAAGUUACUCAUGUCAUUUUUCGUUUCUGUAGAUUGCCAAGAUAAAUGGAUGAUGCAUGGCUCAGAUGUUGAUUGCAAGGACUAUUAGAUAAUUAGAAUGUCAUUUUCACGAUCAAUGUUUCAAACAUUGUAGUAGAUUGCAAGGUCGAGAAUUAUGAUAAAACUAGAUAGUUUCGCAUCUUGUAAUCUUUGGAUCAUGUUCUAUGCAACGCUACACAAUCGAAUUAAUAUAUGAGGAAGGUUUAUUA
Molecule: long non-coding RNA, 1637 nt
Organism: Triticum aestivum (bread wheat)
Lineage: Eukaryota; Viridiplantae; Streptophyta; Magnoliopsida; Poales; Poaceae
Exons: 3
Source: RefSeq, a predicted model, not a curated record